GUCAGGCUCAUAACCUGAAGGCCGCAGGUUCAAAUCCUGCCCCCGCAA
Molecule: transfer RNA, 48 nt
Filed under: Rhizobium azibense
Lineage: Bacteria; Pseudomonadati; Pseudomonadota; Alphaproteobacteria; Hyphomicrobiales; Rhizobiaceae
Also listed under: 1 other name
Description: tRNA-Met
Rfam family: tRNA
About the family: Transfer RNA (tRNA) molecules are approximately 80 nucleotides in length. Their secondary structure includes four short double-helical elements and three loops (D, anti-codon, and T loops).
Source: RNAcentral